GAUGAACGCUGGCGCGUGCUUAAUGCAUGCAAGUCGAACGAGAACCUUUUUGUAGGUAACUACAGAGAGACUUCUAGUGGCGAACGGGUGAGUAACACGUGAGAAACCUGCCCCGAAGACCGGGAUAGCCCAUGGAAACGUGGAUUAAUACCGGAUACCCUCACGGAAUCGCAUGGUUCUGUGAGGAAAUGCUCCGGCGCUUUGGGAUGGUCUCGCGGCCUAUCAGCUUGUUGGUGAGGUAACGGCUCACCAAGGCACUGACGGGUAGCUGGUCUGAGAGGACGAUCAGCCACACUGGGACUGAGACACGGCCCAGACUCCUACGGGAGGCAGCAGCAGGGAAUAUUGCACAGUGGGCGCAAGCCUGAUGCAGCGACGCCGCGUGAGGGAUGAAGGCUUUCGGGUUGUAAACCUCUUUCAGUGGGGAAGAAGCGCAAGUGACGGUACCCACACAAGAAGGCCCGGCCAACUACGUG
Molecule: ribosomal RNA, 476 nt
Filed under: uncultured bacterium
Lineage: Bacteria
Description: bacterial SSU rRNA
Rfam family: Bacterial small subunit ribosomal RNA
Source: RNAcentral